Molecule: long non-coding RNA, 1865 nt
Filed under: Vulpes vulpes (red fox)
Lineage: Eukaryota; Metazoa; Chordata; Mammalia; Carnivora; Canidae
Description: lncRNA (ENSVVUG00000013721.1)
Source: RNAcentral
GGGGGUGACUGGGUGACAGGCACUGAGGGGGGCACUUGACGGGAUGAGCACUGGGUGUUAUUCUGUAUGUUGGCAAAUUGAACACCAAUAAAAAAUAAAUUUAUUAUUUAAAACAAAAACUACAGCUACUUAUGAUAAAAAUUAAAUAGUAACUCCAGUGAUCCUGAAAAUGAAGAAUUAGAGAAGACUUAAAAAAAUAAAAUAAAAAAGAGGAAGUCCCGCAUUGCUUCAGGUGAUGCACCUCGGCCUGUUCCCGGAACCUCGGGUCCCAGAACUACUCCUUCCUCUCUCAGGUCUGAGGCUGGUGCAGGCCCGGCGGAGGGGACCGGGGCGCUGGCGGGAGCCCGGGAGCCAGGAGCGCAUGCGCCGCGAGUGGGCGGUUCCCUUGUCCCCCGCGGCUCCUUCAGCGCCUGCGCCGCCCGCACCGCAGGCUGCCGUCCUCUGGCGCAGAGUUCAGAUCACUGUUGAGUCCAGGUUCAGCAAAAACAGCCAGGCCAACAAGUUAGAAGCACUCCCAGCUGCUUGAGCUUGCACAUUGAAUUCAGUCACUGGUUAAUGCAUAUCUCAUCCUCAUGGUGAUAGGUGUCUUGGAAAUUAAGAGACUGUUGCCAGAUGCAGUGUUUUCUCCUUCUUCCUUCCCCACCCCCACGGAUCACUUGUGGUGCCAACAAUAUAUCUUAUCAACACUUGUCUCUAAGCUUAAUACACGUCCUGACAGUUACCAUGAAUGCUCCUUGCACAUUCAUCAGUCAGUCCAGUGAGUUAAAAAAAAAAAAAAAAGCUUCCCGAUCCCAGGAAUUCUGACUUUCAAGGUAAGAUUUCGAUAAAAGGAUCUCUAGAAAUAUAAUUUAAGUAACAUGAAACUGCUGAAUAUGUUUUAUUCCAUGAAAUAUGCCGCAGCCACAGUUACUUAAAUGUGCUUUCAUUGGAAAUAUUUUUUAUCUUGAACUUCAGAUCAGGAUAACUUUAGAUCGGGAUUUUUGAUCAGGAAAGACUAGGCAAUCUUAUCCAUCCACAUAGAACGGAAUUCCCUAAAAUUAUUUAAAAGUAACUGCAGUAAUACCAUCAAAAAAAUUCUGAUUUUUUUUAAAGUUAGCUCCAUUUCUAGGAGUGUGAAGAACUUUAGGCCAAAACAUAAAAUCAAUACUUAAAAAAAAAAAAAAAAGGAAGAAAGCAAACAAAUGAAGAGAGAGAGAAAGAGAGAAGAAAAAUCCCCAAACUUCCACAAUUUAAAAAAAGUAUUGACUUGGUCUUCCUUAAGUGCUUUCUUGACCUCAAGUGCAUCCUGUGACUCAUAUUCCAAUUGCUGCUACAGUCUUUCUGGUCCAAAUUGCUGGGAGGAAGGGAAGUACUGCUCUAGACAAAGUGGUUAAAUAACCUAGUGUACAGAACCUUAUAAAAGCUGCACCCUGAGAAAGGUGCAGUGUUUCUCCUUUCUUUGUUCCUAUUUCACUUUUAUGAUCCCUUCUUGGAAGAAAGGUACAUUCUGUCUCUUUUUGAAAAAAAGGAUCUAAGUAACAAUAACAUCACCAGUGUUGAAAAAUGUGUUUUUCCAUAUACUCCCCAUGAGACUGGUUUAUUUUAAAUGCAAUUGUACUGGGUCUUUAUUCAAGAUUAAUACUAUUAAUCUAAUACUUUAGAUUAAUAUCUCUUUGCAAGCAGGUGAGAAUAACUGUUAUGUCCCUUAUUUUGGGAGAUUCAACAUUAGUGGUUUCAGCAAUCAUUUUCUGAGGCCCUUCCAUUAGGUCUAUCAUUAGGAAGAAAGCAGUUUGAGGACAAUCAGAAGUUGGAGCUGCCUGUGGAUAGCAAAAGUACAUCAACUUGAAAAUGGCUGUGAAAUAAAAUGGAGAUUUCUAUGAGAUACA